UUUUAACACGAAGUGAGUGGCGAACGGGUGAGUAACACGUGGGUAACCUGCCCAGAAGUAGGGGAUAACACCUGGAAACAGAUGCUAAUACCGUAUAACAGAGAAAACCGCAUGGUUUUCUUUUAAAAGAUGGCUCUGCUAUCACUUCUGGAUGGACCCGCGGCGUAUUAGCUAGUUGGUGAGGUAAAGGCUCACCAAGGCAGUGAUACGUAGCCGACCUGAGAGGGUAAUCGGCCACAUUGGGACUGAGACACGGCCCAGACUCCUACGGGAGGCAGCAUAGGGAAUCUUCCACAAUGGACGCAAGUCUGAUGGA
This 316-nucleotide ribosomal RNA is filed under the name Pediococcus pentosaceus. Its description in RNAcentral is "bacterial SSU rRNA". It matches the Rfam family "Bacterial small subunit ribosomal RNA", at positions 78 to 390 of the family's 1533-position model. Lineage: Bacteria; Bacillati; Bacillota; Bacilli; Lactobacillales; Lactobacillaceae. The record is from RNAcentral.